GAAGAAAAGGGCAGGGCAAAGACCGGUGCCCAGCCGCCGCGGUAAUACCGGCUGCUCGAGUGAUGGCCACUAUUACUGGGUUUAAAGCGUCCGUAGCUUGACUGAUAGGUCUCUUGGGAAAUCUUAACGCUUAACGUUAAGGCGUCUAAGAGAUACCGUCAGUCUUGGAACUGGGAGAGGUAAACCGUACUUCGGGGGUAGGAGUGAAAUCUUGUAAUCCUCGAGGGACGACCUAUGGCGAAGGCAGUUUACCAGAACAGCUUCGACAGUGAGGGACGAAAGCUGGGGGAGCAAACGGGAUUGGAUACCCCGGUAGUCCCAGCCGUAAACAAUGUSCGUUCGUUUAUCGGUAACCACGCGUUACUGAUGCGCCGCAGAGAAAUCGUGAAACGCACCACCCKGGAAG
This 406-nucleotide ribosomal RNA is filed under the name uncultured Methanocorpusculum sp. Its description in RNAcentral is "bacterial SSU rRNA". It matches the Rfam family "Archaeal small subunit ribosomal RNA", at positions 431 to 835 of the family's 1478-position model. The record is from RNAcentral. Lineage: Archaea; Methanobacteriati; Methanobacteriota; Methanomicrobia; Methanomicrobiales; Methanocorpusculaceae.